RNAcentral lists this unclassified non-coding RNA (209 nucleotides) under uncultured fungus. RNAcentral's name for it is "sequence contains ITS1". The record is from RNAcentral. Lineage: Eukaryota; Fungi.
GUAAUUAUUAUAAUUAUUCAGACGCUGAUUGAAAAUUAAAAAGGUUAUUGAGUUGUCCAGCCGGCGGGCGAACCCGCCGAGGAAACAGAAGUACGCAAAAAGACAAGGGUUCAGAAAGAGAGCGUACUCGUGGAAAACACUUUCCGCUCCCCCCGAGCAGUAGAAAACUACUGAGUGUAAUGAUCCUUCCGCAGGUUCACCUACGGAAA